CCUACUGGAGGCAGCAGUGAGGAAUAUUGGUCAAUGGACGAGAGUCUGAACCAGCCAAGUAGCGUGAAGGAUGACUGCCCUAUGGGUUGUAAACUUCUUUUAUAUGGGAAUAAAGUUUUCCACGUGUGGAAUUUUGUAUGUACCAUAUGAAUAAGGAUCGGCUAACUCCGUGCCAGCAGCCGCGGUAAUACGGAGGAUCCGAGCGUUAUCCGGAUUUAUUGGGUUUAAAGGGAGCGUAGGUGGACAGUUAAGUCAGUUGUGAAAGUUUGCGGCUCAACCGUAAAAUUGCAGUUGAUACUGGCUGUCUUGAGUACAGUAGAGGUGGGCGGAAUUCGUGGUGUAGCGGUGAAAUGCUUAGAUAUCACGAAGAACUCCGAUUGCGAAGGCAGCUCACUGGACUGCAACUGACACUGAUGCUCGAAAGUGUGGGUAUCAAACA
This 439-nucleotide ribosomal RNA is filed under the name uncultured prokaryote. RNAcentral's name for it is "bacterial SSU rRNA". It matches the Rfam family "Bacterial small subunit ribosomal RNA", at positions 338 to 774 of the family's 1533-position model. The record is from RNAcentral.